CAGAGAUCAUUUGCGAAUGAGGGAAAAUCUAAGGCACAGGGCGUAUUUGAAAAGGCCGAGGGCAGCAUGGACGUAGAAUGAAUGAACGAAAGGAUAAAUAAUUAAAUAAAUGCCUACAGAGAGGAGUCAUAUUGCUGCCCUCUGUUGGUUGUAUCUGAAGCUGAGCGAGACAUGACUUGACCUGCCAAUGUGAGGUUCCUGUUUUGGCACACUGAACAUUUCAGCUGUGGCAAGAAUGUUGUUUCCGGGUUUAAAAGAGUCUUUCUUUGGGCUGCUAAAGGUACGGUUGAGGUUUAAUAAAAAAAUAAGGAAAAAAGUGGUUAUUUUUUUCACUAAACUAUGAAGCUUUUCAGAGAAUAUACUUUAACUUUUUUUCUAUAUAUCAGUGUAAAAAAUAAAGAGGACUUUGUCAGUAUCGAACGAAGACCACUAGGAGCUCAAUGUGAGGAUUUACCUCAGUUGGUGACAGUUUGGAAAUGCUAUUAUGUUGUAUAAGACACAAACCAAAAGCUGCAAUUGGAUUAUUUAGAUUUUUUUAUAAUGGCUUUGAAAAUCAACAUUUUAAACUUCACGUAUUUUGGUUUCCUCGACUGAACUGUUGAUGUGGGAAAACAUUUAUGGAACUUUUUAUACAAAAAGAAACAUUAGUUGUAAAAGAAUGGUCGCUGUCCCGGUUAAAGGGAUGAUCGGUUGUUCCUUUAGUUCUAUUCAGGUGUCUCAUUCAUGCUCUCACUUGUGUAAUUCCUUAACUACUGUGCUGCUAAUACUUAACAAAGACAUGUUUCCUAUAUUUUGUAAUGUCCCAGUUUAUUGUGCACACACACAUACAAAUGUCUAAUGGCAAAAUAUUCUCAAAAUAUACUUUUUUAUUAUUUUACGUUUUUAAUUAUUGUGAAGAUUUGAAAUUGUGUCCCAGUUAAACAAUGCGUAUAAUCCUCAGGGAAGGCCUUGCCAAGUGACUUUACCCCUCAAUUAUUAUCAAUUUCUCUCUCUCUCUCUAUAUAUAUAUAUUUUUUUUUUUAUUUAAAACAUACUUGUAUACAGACUCUAAGAUUUUGAAACAACAUGAGAAGCAUUAAUUAAGUGAAAUCAAUCACUUAUAGUAUAUUUUAUUGUAAAACCUAUAUUUGUGUUGCAGUCCAUCGUAUUAUUCUACUAAUACAUAUAAUUUACAAACAUAUUUUGCUUUUAUUGCACUGCAUUAGUAAAAAACAACACGCAGGGACAAGCUUCCAAAAUGCCUGACUCAUUAGUGUAUUCGGUGAAUACUCUUUGUUUCUUUGUGUAAAAACACAUACAUACAUAAUCUACGCAUAUUUUAGAUUUCAAAGGUCCUUUUUUUCCCGACACGGUGCAAUAAAGACCACGUCCAGUCAGACGUGCAAAUCACUAAGAGCCACCACUGAAACAAAAUGUUCUCUGCGUGGAAUCCUCCCUGCACGUGUUGCCGGUUGAGCCGCGUUAAUCAAGCGGGAUUUCGAAAACACAAUCCGGGAAGGCGUGCACCACGCGGAUACCGGAUUUUCAUGUCCAUGAUCCUGAAAAAAAAAAAAAAAAGACAGAAUUCUGACUUUUUAAUGAUGAUUAAAAGCAUUUUUGAAACGUGCCUGGUGGACACGUGGCAGAGCCGCGCGUCGAGGCCGGUGGCGGCGUUCCAUCGGCGUCCCUGCGCCGUCCCUGCCUAAUGUAGGUCAAAGCAGUGACGGAAGGGGUGUCCUCCGCUGAACCCGCGGUAUUAACAUCCACAUGGCAGUCCUGCAGAUGGCGCGCACAUUCAACUGAGCGCCCCCGGGUGCUCACGCAAACAAACGUGACCCGGAGCCGUUUCAGCCCGGAGAGACGACGGCGACCGUCCGAAGCG
Gasterosteus aculeatus aculeatus (three-spined stickleback) is the source of this 1861-nucleotide long non-coding RNA. NCBI's taxonomy places the organism in Eukaryota, Metazoa, Chordata, Actinopteri, Perciformes, Gasterosteidae. The record is from Ensembl.